This 99-nucleotide small RNA is filed under the name Mesocricetus auratus (golden hamster). RNAcentral's name for it is "Y RNA (ENSMAUG00000002131.1)". The record is from RNAcentral. Lineage: Eukaryota; Metazoa; Chordata; Mammalia; Rodentia; Cricetidae.
GGCUGCUCCCAAGGUAGUUGAGUUAUCUCAAUUGAUUAUUCGCAGUCAGUUACAGACCAAACUCCUGUUCUAUACUGUCCUGCACUUGACUAGUCUUUA